UGGGGAAUAUUGGACAAUGGGCGCAAGCCUGAUCCAGCAAUGCCGCGUGAGUGAUGAAGGCCUUAGGGUUGUAAAGCUCUUUCGCACGCGACGAUGAUGACGGUAGCGUGAGAAGAAGCCCCGGCUAACUUCGUGCCAGCAGCCGCGGUAAUACGAAGGGGGCUAGCGUUGUUCGGAAUUACUGGGCGUAAAGGGCGCGUAGGCGGCCUGUUUAGUCAGAAGUGAAAGCCCCGGGCUCAACCUGGGAAUAGCUUUUGAUACUGGCAGGCUUGAGUUCCGGAGAGGAUGGUGGAAUUCCCAGUGUAGAGGUGAAAUUCGUAGAUAUUGGGAAGAACACCGGUGGCGAAGGCGGCCAUCUGGACGGACACUGACGCUGAGGCGCGAAAGCGUGGGGAGCAAACAGGAUUAGAUACCCUGGUAGUCCACGCCGUAAAACGAUGAAUGCUAGACGUCGGGGUGCAUGCACUUCGGUGUCGCCGCUAACGCAUUAAGCAUUCCGCCUGGGGAGUACGGCCGCAAGGUUAAAAACUCAAAUGAAUUGACGGGGUCAUAGCUGUUUCCU
RNAcentral lists this ribosomal RNA (562 nucleotides) under uncultured bacterium. RNAcentral's name for it is "partial 16S ribosomal RNA". It matches the Rfam family "Bacterial small subunit ribosomal RNA", at positions 355 to 1375 of the family's 1533-position model. The record is from RNAcentral.